This 302-nucleotide ribosomal RNA is filed under the name Sarcoptes scabiei. RNAcentral describes it as "partial 28S ribosomal RNA". It matches the Rfam family "Eukaryotic large subunit ribosomal RNA", at positions 1856 to 2152 of the family's 3401-position model. The record is from RNAcentral. Lineage: Eukaryota; Metazoa; Arthropoda; Arachnida; Sarcoptiformes; Sarcoptidae.
GCAGCAGGUCUCCAAGGUGCGAAGCCUUUAGUGUCUAGAUUAAUGUAGGUAAGGGAAGUCGGCAAAAUAGUUCUGUAACUUUGGGAGAAGGGAUGGCUCUGAAGGUUGAUCCAGUCAGGUUGACAGUAGAAGUAUUUAUGACAUUGUGUUGUCGCCGGGUGGACUUCGCGUCUGCCUGGAUGAUGACCGAAGUUGUGUUUAUGGACAUUGUUAGCUGUUUCGGUUUAUUUUGAUGUGAUUGGAAAUUAUCAACUACUUCAGAACUGGCACGAACUGAGGGAAUCCGACUGUCUAAUUAAAAC